Molecule: ribosomal RNA, 483 nt
Filed under: uncultured bacterium
Lineage: Bacteria
Description: partial 16S ribosomal RNA
Rfam family: Bacterial small subunit ribosomal RNA
Source: RNAcentral
GACGAACGCUGGCGGCGUGCUUAACACAUGCAAGUCGAACGAUGAAGCCGCUUCGGUGGUGGAUUAGUGGCGAACGGGUGAGUAACACGUGGGCAAUCUGACCUGCACUCUGGGACAAGCCCUGGAAACGGGGUCUAAUACCGGAUACGACCAUCGGCCGCAUGGCCUGGUGGUGGAAAGCUCUGGUGGUGCAGGAUGAGCCCGCGGCCUAUCAGCUUGUUGGGGGGGUGAUGGCCUACCAAGGCGACGACGGGUAGCCGGCCGGAGAGGGCGAGCCGGGACACUGGGACGGAGGCACGGCGCGGACGCCGACGGGAGGCAGCGGGGGGGAAUAUUGCACAAUGGGCGCAAGCCUGAUGCAGCGACGCCGCGUGGGGGAUGACGGCCUUCGGGUUGUAAACCUCUUUCAGCAGGGAAGAAGCUUUCGGGUGACGGUACCUGCAGAAGAAGCACCGGCUAACUACGUGCCAGCAGCCGCCGUAA